CUCAAAAGUUUCGUUGCAUCUCAGCAACUCAUCAGUGGGCUUAGGCCCAGACUUUUGAGAGUAGAAACACCUCUCAGCCCCUCCACCUUGGGGUGCCCUAUCCGAGCACUGCAGUUUCGGUAGAAAGGCUAAGAACCUCGCAAUGAGGUAAGGUGGGACUUUUCCUUCUGGAACCAAGCGGUUGGUUCCGAGGGGGGUGUGAUCCAGGUACCGCCGUAGAAACUGGAUUACGACGUCUACCCGGGAUUCAAACCCGGUCCCCUCCAGAAGUGUAUUCUGGAUGAAGAGUCUGUGCUAAGCACACUGACGAGUCUCUGAGAUGAGACGAAACUCUUCAAGAGCUUUUGUUC
Molecule: unclassified non-coding RNA, 350 nt
Filed under: Peach latent mosaic viroid
Lineage: Avsunviroidae
Source: RNAcentral